UACGAGGGGUCCUAGCGUUGUUCGGAAUCACUGGGCGUAAAGCGUAUGUAGGCGGACCUCUAAGUCAGGUGUGAAAUCCCACGGCUCAACCGUGGAAUUGCAUUUGAAACUGGAGGUCUUGAGUGUGGGAGAGAUUGGUAGAAUACCUGGUGUAGUGGUGAAAUACGUAGAUAUCAGGUGGAAUACCGGUGGCGAAGGCGGCCAAUUGGCCCAACACUGACGCUGAGAUACGAAAGCGUGGGGAUCAAACAGG
RNAcentral lists this ribosomal RNA (253 nucleotides) under uncultured bacterium. Its description in RNAcentral is "partial 16S ribosomal RNA". It matches the Rfam family "Bacterial small subunit ribosomal RNA", at positions 524 to 776 of the family's 1533-position model. The record is from RNAcentral.